GUGUCAGCCGCCGCGGUAAUACGUAAGGACCGAGCGUUGUCCGGAAUCAUUGGGCGUAAAGGGUACGUAGGCGGUUAGAAAAGUUAGAGGUGAAAGGCUAUAGCUCAACUAUAGUAAGCUUUUAAAACUGUUUAACUUGAGAGAUGGAAGGGAAAGUGGAAUUCCUAGUGUAGCGGUGAAAUGCGCAGAUAUUAGGAGGAAUACCGGUGGCGAAGGCGACUUUCUGGCCAUUAUCUGACGCUGAGGUACGAAAGCGUGGGUAGCAAACAGGAUUAGAUACCCGAGUAGUCC
Molecule: ribosomal RNA, 291 nt
Filed under: uncultured Anaerococcus sp.
Lineage: Bacteria; Bacillati; Bacillota; Tissierellia; Tissierellales; Peptoniphilaceae
Description: partial 16S ribosomal RNA
Rfam family: Bacterial small subunit ribosomal RNA
Source: RNAcentral